RNAcentral lists this transfer RNA (83 nucleotides) under Daedalea quercina L-15889. It matches the Rfam family "tRNA". From Rfam's summary of the family: Transfer RNA (tRNA) molecules are approximately 80 nucleotides in length. Their secondary structure includes four short double-helical elements and three loops (D, anti-codon, and T loops). Lineage: Eukaryota; Fungi; Basidiomycota; Agaricomycetes; Polyporales; Fomitopsidaceae. The record is from Rfam by way of RNAcentral.
GCCGAGAUAGCUCAGCUGGGAGAGCAACAGACUGAAGUUAGUUUGAUUUCUGGAGGUCGGGCGUUCGAUCCGCCCUCUUGGCA